RNAcentral lists this long non-coding RNA (395 nucleotides) under Vigna radiata. RNAcentral describes it as "long non-coding RNA (VRAD_LNC012499)". The record is from RNAcentral. Lineage: Eukaryota; Viridiplantae; Streptophyta; Magnoliopsida; Fabales; Fabaceae.
CCAAGACACCUUCUACUGCUGGCCGUGUGGCAAUUGGAAGCUGCUGUGAAGAUGCUUAGACGCGUAAUGAUGCGGACCGUGAUGCUUCAGCUGCACCACCUCUCAAAGCUGGAUGAGUUAGACCACUUCCCAAGCAUUGCUGGAAGUUGCCGGAUGAACGACCCAAGCUGCUAGAAUGUGGCAAUGGAUGGAAGCUGCUGCUUGGGCCGAAGCUGCUGUGAAUGUUGCUGCAAAAGUGGUGCUGCAUCUUGUGCUAAUGGGUCCGCUGCUGCCAGCCUUUUAAAGUUGCUAACGCUGCAGGAUGCUUUUAAGUUGAAGCCCGUGGAUGUGCUGCUACGUGGUGGUGUGAUGAAAGCUUGAUGCUAAGUGGAGUGCUGCACUGCUGGACUCCUAAG